CGAUCCUGUAGUGUUAUAUUUGUAGCAAAGAAAUUUAUGCUAUAUUUCUAGAACACUGGGGGGUAUGUAACACUAUGCAGUCAUCGAAAGUAUUGAAAUUAUUAAACAUAAUUUCUAAAGUUUAUAAAUGUAUGUAUUAUUGUUAAACUACAAACGUGACUUUCUAUAUGUACAUGUUUUGGCUUAAGGGAUGUUCAAGUUGAUGACAAUUGUUUUUUCAUUCAGCAACAUGUGGUCAUCGUAUUUAAUUAGAUUUUAUUAGUUUGGCUUUAAUUGACCUAACGUUAAGUAUAUGAGACCAAAAGUAAUGGUCACUUUUUAUAACCAUUUUAUUUGUGGCUAUAGGCUUUCUCAAAGUAAGUACCUAUCAUAAACAAAAUUCUUUCUAAAUUAAAGUCACGUUCGUAGUUGUAUAAAAGAACUGUCCCUAACAAGACAGUUCAGAUGGUAACUAGGCACUGAAUAAAAAUUAGUUCCUCUUUAGCCAUUGGUUUUAUAGUGCCACA
This 506-nucleotide long non-coding RNA is filed under the name Mytilus galloprovincialis (Mediterranean mussel). The record is from RNAcentral. Lineage: Eukaryota; Metazoa; Mollusca; Bivalvia; Mytilida; Mytilidae.